This 635-nucleotide ribosomal RNA is filed under the name Lactobacillus gasseri. RNAcentral describes it as "bacterial SSU rRNA". It matches the Rfam family "Bacterial small subunit ribosomal RNA", at positions 379 to 1003 of the family's 1533-position model. Lineage: Bacteria; Bacillati; Bacillota; Bacilli; Lactobacillales; Lactobacillaceae. The record is from RNAcentral.
AAGUCUGAUGGAGCAACGCCGCGUUGAGUGAAGAAGGGUUUCGGCUCGUAAAGCUCUGUUGGUAGUGAAGAAAGAUAGAGGUAGUAACUGGCCUUUAUUUGACGGUAAUUACUUAGAAAGUCACGGCUAACUACGUGCCAGCAGCCGCGGUAAUACGUAGGUGGCAAGCGUUGUCCGGAUUUAUUGGGCGUAAAGCGAGUGCAGGCGGUUCAAUAAGUCUGAUGUGAAAGCCUUCGGCUCAACCGGAGAAUUGCAUCAGAAACUGUUGAACUUGAGUGCAGAAGAGGAGAGUGGAACUCCAUGUGUAGCGGUGGAAUGCGUAGAUAUAAGGAAGAACACCAGUGGCGAAGGCGGCUCUCUGGUCUGCAACUGACGCUGAGGCUCGAAAGCAUGGGUAGCGAACAGGAUUAGAUACCCUGGUAGUCCAUGCCGUAAACGAUGAGUGCUAAGUGUUGGGAGGUUUCCGCCUCUCAGUGCUGCAGCUAACGCAUUAAGCACUCCGCCUGGGGAGUACGACCGCAAGGUUGAAACUCAAAGGAAUUGACGGGGGCCCGCACAAGCGGUGGAGCAUGUGGUUUAAUUCGAAGCCACGCGAAGAGCCUUACCAGGUCUUGACAUCCAGUGCCAAACCUAAG